GAUGAACGCUGGCGGCGUGCCUAAUACAUGCGAGUCGAGCGAACAGACGAGGAGCUUGCUCCUCUGACGUUAGCGGCGGACGGGUGAGUAACACGUGGAUAACCUACCUAUAAGACUGGGAUCACUUCGGGAAACCGGAGCUAAUACCGGAUAAUAUAUUGAACCGCAUGGUUCAAUAGUGAAAGACGGUUUUGCUGUCACUUAUAGCUGGAUCCGCGCCGCAUUAGCUAGUUGGUAAGGUACCGGCUUAUCAAGGCAACGAUGCGUAGCCGACCGGAGAGAGUGAUAGACCACACUGGAACUGAGACACGGUCCAGGCGCCUGCGGGAGGCAGCAGUAGGGAAUCUUCCGCAGUGGGCGGAAGCCUGACGGAGCAACGCCGCGUGAGUGAUGAAAGUCUUCGGAUCGUAAAACUCUGUUAUUAGGGAAGAACAAAUGUGUAAGGAACUAUGCACGUCUUGACGGCACCUGAUCAGAAAGCCACGGCUAACUACGUG
Molecule: ribosomal RNA, 497 nt
Filed under: uncultured bacterium
Lineage: Bacteria
Description: partial 16S ribosomal RNA
Rfam family: Bacterial small subunit ribosomal RNA
Source: RNAcentral